Molecule: ribosomal RNA, 253 nt
Filed under: uncultured bacterium
Lineage: Bacteria
Description: partial 16S ribosomal RNA
Rfam family: Bacterial small subunit ribosomal RNA
Source: RNAcentral
UACGAAGGGUGCAAGCGUUACUCGGAAUUACUGGGCGUAAAGCGUGCGUAGGUGGUUUGUUAAGUCUGAUGUGAAAGCCCUGGGCUCAACCUGGGAAUUGCAUUGGAUACUGGCAGGCUAGAGUGCGGUAGAGGAUGGCGGAAUUCCCGGUGUAGCAGUGAAAUGCGUAGAGAUCGGGAGGAACAUCUGUGGCGAAGGCGGCCAUCUGGACCAGCACUGACACUGAGGCACGAAAGCGUGGGGAGCAAACCGG